UCCCGAUUACAUCUCUGCAGAUAUUUUUCUCUCAUCGCUCCCUCCCUCUCUUCCCCUUCAAUCGAAUCUCUCAUGGCCCCUUCCAAUUCCCCUUGAAUCGCAUCUAUCUUCCCCUCUCGGUUCCUGUUUCGAAUCUGUGUAACUGAGAUGUUUAUGGGUGGCAUAGAAUUGAUGGAUUCGACUCUGUGUAAAUCGCCCCUCCCGGCUUCAUUCCUCUCAACGCCACGACGGCGACACCGCAGGCCGAUUCUCUACAUCAGAUACAAUACCUGAUGUUUCGUAGAAACCCUAAAUCAGAUUCAGGCAGAUGCUCUACAUUAUAUCCUCCAUCAAGACAUAAGCUUGAGGAUUCCCCCAAAUUUUAUUUUCACCAUUAUGCCU
Molecule: long non-coding RNA, 381 nt
Organism: Lotus japonicus
Lineage: Eukaryota; Viridiplantae; Streptophyta; Magnoliopsida; Fabales; Fabaceae
Exons: 3
Source: RefSeq, a predicted model, not a curated record